Molecule: ribosomal RNA, 879 nt
Filed under: uncultured bacterium
Lineage: Bacteria
Description: bacterial SSU rRNA
Rfam family: Bacterial small subunit ribosomal RNA
Source: RNAcentral
AGAGUUUGAUCCUGGCUCAGGAUGAACGCUGGCGGCGUGCCUAACACAUGCAAGUCGAGCGAUUUACUUCGGUAAAGAGCGGCGGACGGGUGAGUAACGCGUGGGUAACCUGCCCUAUACACACGGAUAACAUACCGAAAGGUAUGCUAAUACGAGAUAAUAUAAGAGAUUCACAUGGAUUUCUUAUCAAAGCUGAGGCGGUAUAGGAUGGACCCGCGUCUGAUUAGCUAGUUGGUAAGGUAACGGCUUACCAAGGCGACGAUCAGUAGCCGACCUGAGAGGGUGAUCGGCCACAUUGGAACUGAGACACGGUCCAAACUCCUACGGGAGGCAGCAGUGGGGAAUAUUGCACAAUGGGCGAAAGCCUGAUGCAGCAACGCCGCGUGAGUGAUGAAGGCCUUCGGGUCGUAAAACUCUGUCCUCAAGGAAGAUAAUGACGGUACUUGAGGAGGAAGCCCCGGCUAACUACGUGCCAGCAGCCGCGGUAAUACGUAGGGGGCUAGCGUUAUCCGGAUUUACUGGGCGUAAAGGGUGCGUAGGUGGUCUCUUAAGUCAGGAGUGAAAGGCUACGGCUUAACCGUAGUAAGCUCUUGAAACUGGGAGACUUGAGUGCAGGAGAGGAAAGUGGAAUUCCUAGUGUAGCGGUGAAAUGCGUAGAUAUUAGGAGGAACACCAGUAGCGAAGGCGGCUUUCUGGACUGUAACUGACACUGAGGCACGAAAGCGUGGGGAGCGAACAGGAUUAGAUACCCUGGUAGUCCACGCUGUAAACGAUGAGUACUACGUGUCGGGGGUUACCCCCCUCGGUGCCGCAGCUAACGCAUUAAGUACUCCGCCUGGGGAGUACGCUCGCAAGAGUGAAACUCAAAGGAAUUGACGG